RNAcentral lists this ribosomal RNA (497 nucleotides) under uncultured bacterium. Its description in RNAcentral is "partial 16S ribosomal RNA". It matches the Rfam family "Bacterial small subunit ribosomal RNA", at positions 28 to 507 of the family's 1533-position model. The record is from RNAcentral.
GAUGAACGCUGGCGGCGUGCCUAACACAUGCAAGUCGAGCGAACAGAUCAGGAUCUUGCUCCUUUGACGUUAGCGGCGGACGGGUGAGUAACACGUGGGUAACCUACCUAUAAGACUGGGAUAACUUCGGCAAACCGGAGCUAAUACCGGAUAAUAUUUCGACCUGCAUGGUUCGAUAGUGAAAUAUGGUUUUGCGAUCACUUAUAGAUGGACCCGCGCCGUAUUAGCUAGUUGGUAAGGUAACGGCUUACCAAGGCGACGAUACGUAGCCGACCUGAGAGGGUGGUCGGCCACACGGGAAGUGAGACACGGUCCAGACUCCUGCGGGAGGCAGCAGUAGCGAAUCUUCCGCAAUGGGCGAGAGCCUGACGGAGCAACGCCGCGUGAGUGAUGAAGGUCUUCGGAUCGGAAAACUCUGUUAUUAGGGAAGAACAUACGUGUAAGUAACUGUGCACGUCUUGACGGUACCUGAUCAGAAAGCCACGGCUAACUACGUG